This is a long non-coding RNA of Passer montanus (Eurasian tree sparrow), 1289 nucleotides long. RefSeq lists it as uncharacterized. The transcript is spliced from 4 exons. NCBI's taxonomy places the organism in Eukaryota, Metazoa, Chordata, Aves, Passeriformes, Passeridae. The record is from RefSeq and is a predicted model, not a curated record.
CUGGGAAGCGCUGGGAGACUGCACUCCCCCUCCCACGCCGCCCACUCGGGUAAUUUCAUUUAUCCCGCAAAUCUAAUUAGCAAUCCGUGGCUGACAUUAAUACAGAUCUAAUGAGGCCGGCGAUGACCAGAUUAUCAGGCGAGCGCUGACAGAGCCUUAAAGGCACAUCGAGCCCUGCAGUCAGUGGGACCCGGCAGGGGAAAAACUGCUUUAAACGGGGAGAAGAAAAAGAAGAAAAAAAAAAAAAAAGGAAAGGAGGAAAGAAAGAAAAAAAAAUAGAUGAGGGAGGGGGAGAAAAACAUGAGGAAAAGCGGUGCGGGUAGGGCUUGGCUGCUUAGCUUAUUAAGGGAGCUGGAGCUUUGCUUUUGGACGCAGUUUAUCCACCAGCAUCGGGCCUCUGUCCCUGCUUCUCCCGAAUUACCGUUCUGCAGAGGAGAAAAAGGAGGGGGGGAAAUAAGGGGAAAAAAAAAAUAAGAAGAAGCUGGAGCCCAAGGAGUCGCUGUGCAAUUUAUUCCAAGGGGUGGCUGUUGAGAAGGCGGCAAUUUGCGGCGGCCGGGGGUUAUUUAGUGCGAUAUGAAAUCAAAUGAUCCUAUUGCUCAAAUAACAGUGUCUGGGAGGAGAAGCGAGCGCGCUCCAAAGCAGCAGCAGCAGUGGCAAGCACUGAGAUGGAGCAGGAUGGAGUGGCCUGGCCAAGCCGUGGCCCCGCUGGCAGGAGCUGCAGAGUGGACAGCAGAGGGAACAGCUUGGCCAUGAAGGUGCUGCUCUCCUGAAAGAGGAUCCUGGCAGAAACAUGGCUUGGUGCAGAGGACGGCGCGACGAAAGCGAGAGAGCAGCAGACACUUGAACGGAGACUCCUUGUGUUUACAGCCUGGUCACACGAGUGACUGAGACCCGAAAUCUCCCUGACAUACUCUCUGGAUGCUUGGCCUUGGAACAGCCUCAUUUGUGCCACACCUGCUCCCUUCUGCUUGUGGAGCCUUCUAUGCUGCACAGGACACUGGAAAAGCACUUGGAGAUGGCUGGAGAAGGAAGGGGGCUUCCUGGAAAACAGUCUCUAAACCAGCCCUUCCCGGUGCCAUGACUUUUCUGGGGCUCAUUAAUAUCAGUGGUUCCUGCUGGAGGAACUCUGUCACCUUCCCCGAGGCAGCAGAUCUGAGGCCAGACGUGGUGUGCACUGCUUGAGCAUCAGACAUGAGUAAUAACAAGUUUCAAGGAACUGUACCACUUAAUAAAAGCAUUUUAUUACAUUUAAAUGUAUUAAAAUGUGAACAUUAAAUUCAAUGCGCUAA